RNAcentral lists this ribosomal RNA (497 nucleotides) under uncultured bacterium. RNAcentral's name for it is "partial 16S ribosomal RNA". It matches the Rfam family "Bacterial small subunit ribosomal RNA", at positions 28 to 507 of the family's 1533-position model. The record is from RNAcentral.
GAUGAACGCUGGCGGCGUGCCUAAUACAUGCAAGUCGAGCGGACGGACGAUAAGCUUGCUUCUCUGAUGUUAGCGGCGGACGUGUGAGUAACACGUGGAUAACCUACCUAUAAGACUGGUAUAACCUCGGGAAACCGGAGCUAAUACCGGAUAAUAUUUUGAACCGCAUGGUUCAAAAGUGAAAGACGGUCUUGCUGUCACUUAUAGAUGGAUCCGCGCUGCAUUAGCUAGUUGGUAAGGUAACGGCUUACCAAGGCAACGAUGCAUAGCCGACCUGAGAGGGUGAUCGGCCACACUGGAACUGAGACACGGUCCAGACUCCUACGGGAGGCAGCAGUAGGGAAUCGUCCGCAAUGGGCGAAAGCCUGACGGAGCAACGCCGCGUGAGUGAUGAAGGUCUUCGGAUCGUAAAACUCUGUUAUUAGGGAAGAACAUAUGUGUAAGUAACUGUGCACAUCGUGACGGUACCUAAUCAGAAAGCCACGGCUAACUACGUG